UGUUUCGGCAAGGGGGUCAUCCCGACUUACCAACCCGAUGCAAACUGCGAAUACCGGAGAAUGUUAUCACGGGAGACACACGGCGGGUGCUAACGUCCGUCGUGAAGAGGGAAACAACCCAGACCGCCAGCUAAGGUCCCAAAGUCAUGGUUAAGUGGGAAACGAUGUGGGAAGGCCCAGACAGCCAGGAUGUUGGCUUAGAAGCAGCCAUCAUUUAAAGAAAGCGUAAUAGCUCACUGGUCGAGUCGGCCUGCGCGGAAGAUGUAACGGGGCUAAACCAUGCACCGAAGCUGCGGCAGCAACGCUUAUGUGUUGUUGGGUAGGGGAGCGUUCUGUAAGCCUGUGAAGGUGUACUGUGAGGUAUGCUGGAGGUAUCAGAAGUGCGAAUGCUGACAUAAGUAACGAUAAAGCGGGUGAAAAGCCCGCUCGCCGGAAGACCAAGGGUUCCUGUCCAACGUUAAUCGGGGCAGGGUGAGUCGACCCCUAAGGCGAGGCCGAAAGGCGUAGUCGAUGGGAAACAGGUUAAUAUUCCUGUACUUGGUGUUACUGCGAAGGGGGGACGGAGAAGGCUAUGUUGGCCGGGCGACGGUUGUCCCGGUUUAAGCGUGUAGGCUGGUUUUCCAGGCAAAUCCGGAAAAUCAAGGCUGAGGCGUGAUGACGAGGCACUACGGUGCUGAAGCAACAAAUGCCCUGCUUCCAGGAAAAGCCUCUAAGCAUCAGGUAACAUCAAAUCGUACCCCAAACCGACACAGGUGGUCAGGUAGAGAAUACCAAGGCGCUUGAGAGAACUCGGGUGAAGGAACUAGGCAAAAUGGUGCCGUAACUUCGGGAGAAGG
RNAcentral lists this ribosomal RNA (836 nucleotides) under Escherichia coli. RNAcentral's name for it is "partial 23S ribosomal RNA". It matches the Rfam family "Bacterial large subunit ribosomal RNA", at positions 911 to 1746 of the family's 2925-position model. The record is from RNAcentral. Lineage: Bacteria; Pseudomonadati; Pseudomonadota; Gammaproteobacteria; Enterobacterales; Enterobacteriaceae.